Molecule: long non-coding RNA, 1013 nt
Filed under: Homo sapiens (human)
Lineage: Eukaryota; Metazoa; Chordata; Mammalia; Primates; Hominidae
Description: non-protein coding lnc-VAV3-8:1
Source: RNAcentral
AGAUGCUUUGAAACACUGAAAUGUUCUUCUUUCCUUUUUAAAGUAUCCUGCCACCUUUAAGACUGGAUAAUCCAUGUCUAAACUACAAGACCAAGCUGAAAUUUUUAUUACUGUUAUGGAACCUGUCUUGAAGUAUCCCCGAUCAAGUUAAUCAAUCUGUAUUUCACCUAUGAUAUGAAGAUAUAUAUAUAUAUAUAUAUAUACACACUUAUCCUGUACUAAAGGGGUAGAAAUGCUAUAAAAAAAUCAUGAAAUCAGUCAACAAAUUUGGAUUAUGAGUAGCAACUUAUAUGAGUAAUUAUAUAAAUAUUGUUAUAACUUUUCUAAAUGGACUGUGGUUAUAUGAGAGAAUAUCCAAAUUGUUAGGAAAUGCACAUAGAAAUAUUUAUAGGUAAAGCACCAUGAUAUAUGCAACUAACCAUCAGAUAUUUCAAACAUUAUGCAGAUACAAGUCUAUUUACAGUGAGUGUGAGAGAGUGUGUACAAGCAAAUAAGUGAUAGAGAAAAUGGGGCAAAAUAUUAACAAUGGCUGAGUGUGAAUAAAAGAUAUAAUGAUAUUUCUUAAAAUAUUUGUAUUUGUACAACUUUUUAUGUUUGAAGUUAUUUUUAAAUAAAAUUUACAAAUGUCCAACUUAGUUUCGAAAUGAAAAACUUUUUAAGCACUCAAGAUUCAGGUUAUUGAACGCCUGCAGCUUUUCUAGGUGCAGAGUGCAAGAUACCAGUGGAUCUACCAUUCUGGGGUAUGGAAGACAGCAGCCCCCUUUCCGCAGUUCCACUAGGUAGUGUGGAGCCAAGCUCCUUGCUAAGGCAUCACAUAUGUGACCUUUUCUCCAUUCUUAAUAAAUUUCUCAUUUUUAUCUGAGACCUCAGAAGCCUGGACUUCACUGUCCAUAUCACUGUCACUAUUUUGGUUACAGCCAUUUAACCAGUCUCUAAAAGUUCCAACUUUCCCUCAACUUUCUUUCUUCAUCUGAGCCAUCUAAAGUCUUUCAACCUCUGUCCAUUACCUAGUU